Molecule: transfer RNA, 43 nt
Filed under: Epiperipatus biolleyi
Lineage: Eukaryota; Metazoa; Onychophora; Udeonychophora; Euonychophora; Peripatidae
Description: tRNA-Phe
Source: RNAcentral
UUUAGGACAGCUUUUAGUAUAUUGUUGAAGACAAUAAGAUGCA